Molecule: unclassified non-coding RNA, 218 nt
Filed under: fungal sp.
Lineage: Eukaryota; Fungi
Description: partial internal transcribed spacer region
Rfam family: Eukaryotic small subunit ribosomal RNA (bases 1-46)
Source: RNAcentral
AAGUCGUAACAAGGUUUCCGUAGGUGAACCUGCGGAAGGAUCAUUAACACAAGUAAAAAAACAUUUUACAACACCCUAUUAUGAAUUUAAAUUUUUUAAUUUUAAUUUUUUUUUUAUAAAACUACAAAAAAAUAUUUAAUUUAUUUGACUAACAUUUUUUUAAUUAAUUUAUUUAAAAUUUUAUAAAACAACUCUUAACAACGGAUAUCUUGGCUCUC